RNAcentral lists this ribosomal RNA (258 nucleotides) under uncultured Stenotrophomonas sp. Its description in RNAcentral is "partial 16S ribosomal RNA". It matches the Rfam family "Bacterial small subunit ribosomal RNA", at positions 92 to 351 of the family's 1533-position model. Lineage: Bacteria; Pseudomonadati; Pseudomonadota; Gammaproteobacteria; Lysobacterales; Lysobacteraceae. The record is from RNAcentral.
CGAGUGGCGGACGGGUGAGGAAUACAUCGGAAUCUACUCUGUCGUGGGGGAUAACGUAGGGAAACUUACGCUAAUACCGCAUACGACCUACGGGUGAAAGCAGGGGAUCUUCGGAUCUUGCGCGAUUGAAUGAGCCGAUGUCGGAUUAGCUAGUUGGCGGGGUAAAGGCCCACCAAGGCGACGAUCCGUAGCUGGUCUGAGAGGAUGAUCAGCCACACUGGAACUGAGACACGGUCCAGACUCCUACGGGAGGCAGUC